AAGGACUUACUGGGUACCCAGGUAAGGACGGACGGGUCCGGUGCAUAAGGAACCCUAGUGUGAACGUUACCUCAGUCAGACAGGGUUGAGAAGUUCCUUACUGUUAAGAUUUGGGAGCUAUGGUUCGUCUUCAUACUAGACGGGACAUCAAGGUGGUGGAAUAUUUGACGUCCAUUACCGAACGAGGUACGGGGACGACCAAUUAAUUGUUUAAUUAAAUAUUGAAUUUAUGAGUAGGAGGACAUCCUUAUGGACCCCUAGGGGUAUCGGUAAGUGGGUAAAAAUAUAAAAUGAUCGUUUCUUAUCAUCUUAUAUGUGAUAAAUUAUAGUGUAUGAAUAUGAGUU
This 345-nucleotide long non-coding RNA is filed under the name Carica papaya (papaya). RNAcentral's name for it is "long non-coding RNA (CPAP_LNC009306)". Lineage: Eukaryota; Viridiplantae; Streptophyta; Magnoliopsida; Brassicales; Caricaceae. The record is from RNAcentral.